GUUUAUCACAUCUCUCCUGAACAUCAGAAAUGCCUGUUUUCAUUUUUGCCCUUUCUGUGGCUGCCCUUUUCCCCACUGUGUGCGUCACUUCUCUGCAUGUCUCCCCUGACGCUGGUCUUCCUUUCAAACUGAAGCAUUUUGCCAUGAUGCCCUUUGCUGCCUCACUUCAAAUGUCUGCCCCCUCCUCCGUCUUUACUUUUCCCCAAGGCCCUGGACUUGCUUUCUUUGGAGGCAGUGCCUACCCACUCUUUCUUUCCACAGCUUUGGCCAGCUGGCCCCAGAAAUCAAUCAGUGGCCCAUCAGAGACCAGGCUAGCAGCUGUCACUCCCACCAUGGAAUUUAGAACUGUGAGAAUGGCCCUGGAAGGAAAGCUGCUGCUUAUUU
Molecule: long non-coding RNA, 384 nt
Organism: Bos indicus x Bos taurus (hybrid cattle)
Lineage: Eukaryota; Metazoa; Chordata; Mammalia; Artiodactyla; Bovidae
Source: Ensembl